Molecule: ribosomal RNA, 408 nt
Filed under: uncultured bacterium
Lineage: Bacteria
Description: partial 16S ribosomal RNA
Rfam family: Bacterial small subunit ribosomal RNA
Source: RNAcentral
GACGAACGCUGGCGGCGUGCUUAACACAUGCAAGUCGAACGAAGUGGCGCACGGGUGAGUAACGCGUAAUCAACCUGCCCUUCAGAGGGUGACAACAGUUGGCAACGACUGCUACUACCGCAUACUUAAGGAGGUGAUUGCGUCUGCUUAGCUAGUUGGAGGGGUACCCGCACACCACGGCGAUGAUCAGUAUCCGGUCUGAGAGGAUGAACGGCCAAAUUGGGACUGAGACACGGCCCAGAAUCCUGCGGGAGGCAGCAGGGGGGAAUAUUCCGAAAUGGACGAAAGUCUGACUGAGCAACGCCGGGUGAGUGAUGACGGCCUUCGGGUUGUAAAGCUAUGUUAAUCGGGACGCGGUACCGGAAUAGAAAGCCACGGCUAACUACGUGCCAGCAGCCGCGGUAAUUC